UAAGGAAUAUUGGGCAAUGGACGCAAGUCUGACCCAGCCAUGCCGCGUGAAGGAAGACGGCCCUAUGGGUUGUAAACUUCUUUUCUCAGGGGGUAAACUUCGGAACGUGUUCCGGACUGAAAGUACCUGAGGAAUAAGCAUCGGCUAACUCCGUGCCAGCAGCCGCGGUAAUACGGAGGAUGCGAGCGUUAUCCGGAUUCAUUGGGUUUAAAGGGUGCGCAGGCGGAUAUAUAAGUCGGAGGUGAAAUUCUGAUGCUCAACAUCAGCCGUGCCUUCGAUACUGUAUAUCUAGAGUCAAGUUGGAGUAGGCGGAAUGUGUUGCGUAGCGGUGAAAUGCUUAGAUAUAACACAGAACACCGAUCGCGAAGGCAGCUUACUAAACUUUGACUGACGCUCAUGCACGAAAGCGUGGGGAUCAAACAG
Molecule: ribosomal RNA, 423 nt
Filed under: uncultured bacterium
Lineage: Bacteria
Description: bacterial SSU rRNA
Rfam family: Bacterial small subunit ribosomal RNA
Source: RNAcentral